This 383-nucleotide ribosomal RNA is filed under the name uncultured eukaryote. Its description in RNAcentral is "partial 18S ribosomal RNA". It matches the Rfam family "Eukaryotic small subunit ribosomal RNA", at positions 592 to 976 of the family's 1831-position model. The record is from RNAcentral.
CAAUAGCGUAUAUUAAAGUUGUUGCAGUUAAAAAGCUCGUAGUUAGAUUUCUGGUGGGAGCGAUCGGUCUGGCGCUUAGCGCGAGUACUUGCAUCGUCUCCGGCCAUCCUUGGGGAGAGUCUGUCUGGCAUUAGGUUGUCGGGCAGAGGAUCCUCAUCGUUUACUGUGAAAAAAUUAGAGUGUUCAAAGCAGGCUUAUGCCGUUGAAUAUAUUAGCAUGGAAUAAUAAGAUAGGACUUUGGUACUAUUUUGUUGGUUUGCGCACCAAAGUAAUGAUUAAUAGGGACAGUUGGGGGUAUUCGUAUUCCGUUGUCAGAGGUGAAAUUCUUGGAUUUACGGAAGACGAACUACUGCGAAAGCAUUUACCAAGGAUGUUUUCAUUAA